GGAAUCCUAUAUAAAAAGACCUCUUUCCUUCAGGCAUAUCAUCCUGACUUCAAACUUCCUUCACAAAAGCAUAGCAAGAACCAGAGCAUCAAGCAUCAACUAUGAGGGCUCUUUUCAUUCUAUUUGCUGCCUUCUUACUUGUUAUUCAGACCGUUCCAGGAAAUGCUGACCCUGCACCUGACACCAUGGCUUGUAAGAUUAAUGAUCGGGGGUUCUGCAAAUACGGAGAAUGCCCUGGAAUUACACAGCCCACAGGAGGGACAUGUCAAUGGGGAAGCCUUGUGUGCUGCAAAUCACCUUUUAGACCUUGAGAUUCUGGGGAAAUUCCUGCCUACUUCGUGACCUUGUAUUAUAGACAAGAAUGAAGAACUCUCUGUUAUUGAAGAUUGAAAAUAUUGUGGAAAAUUAAAGGAACAGCACUCCCUGCCAUUCUUGCCUCCAAUCCCCACUGCUUUUUACACGCACACACUUCAACCCCUUGGAGAAACUUCCUAAAAUCUUCUUGCAAUCCAUGUAAUACAUUACUCCUAACUCAGUUCAUACAUAGACUCUUGGAACCCAAACAAGCAUUUGAGAAUGAUUAAUGAAAUCGUGGCACUGAACUGCAAACUGAAAAGUACAAAUUAUACUUAAGUAAAAGGAAGGAACAUCAGGCUUUCAGGAAUCGUGCACAAAAAAACCUCCUUACCUUUAUAUUUUUGAUUUGAUAUUUGAAAAAAUAUGAAAACACACACCUUUUGACAACCCACUAGCUAAUGCCCCUUCUUCUUUUUUGUUUCCAUGCACUUGACACACAAGGCCCCUUCCUCAUUUGGUUUACUACUGUUUAACCAUCUAUUGUAACUUAUGAUCGAUCCUUGAACUUUUGAUCUGAGAUUCUUUUCUGGGGGAAAAACGCACACAUUUAGAUUUUUAAAACCAUUCUGAGUAUUACGAACAUGACCUUUUUAUCUGUGACAUAAAAUUAACACUGACCAAACUUUACAUGUGCCUGUCACUGUUUUGAAUUCUGUUAACACAUGAAUGAAAUGAAAUAAAAAGCAUCUCCAACAACAA
Molecule: long non-coding RNA, 1056 nt
Organism: Anolis carolinensis (green anole)
Lineage: Eukaryota; Metazoa; Chordata; Lepidosauria; Squamata; Anolidae
Exons: 3
Source: RefSeq, a predicted model, not a curated record